RNAcentral lists this ribosomal RNA (550 nucleotides) under uncultured bacterium. RNAcentral describes it as "bacterial SSU rRNA". It matches the Rfam family "Bacterial small subunit ribosomal RNA", at positions 355 to 896 of the family's 1533-position model. The record is from RNAcentral.
UAGGGAAUCUUCGGCAAUGGGGGGAACCCUGACCGAGCAACGCCGCGUGAGUGAAGAAGGUUUUCGGAUCGUAAAGCUCUGUUGUUAAGGAAGAACGUGUGUGAGAGUGGAAAGUUCACACAGUGACGGUACUUAACCAGAAAGGGACGGCUAACUACGUGCCAGCAGCCGCGGUAAUACGUAGGUCCCGAGCGUUGUCCGGAUUUAUUGGGCGUAAAGCGAGCGCAGGCGGUUAGAUAAGUCUGAAGUUAAAGGCUGUGGCUUAACCAUAGUACGCUUUGGAAACUGUUUAACUUGAGUGCAAGAGGGGAGAGUGGAAUUCCAUGUGUAGCGGUGAAAUGCGUAGAUAUAUGGAGGAACACCGGUGGCGAAAGCGGCUCUCUGGCUUGUAACUGACGCUGAGGCUCGAAAGCGUGGGGAGCAAACAGGAUUAGAUACCCUGGUAGUCCACGCCGUAAACGAUGAGUGCUAGGUGUUAGACCCUUUCCGGGGUUUAGUGCCGCAGCUAACGCAUUAAGCACUCCGCCUGGGGAGUACGACCGCAAGGUUG